ACAAAACUAAAAAAAAA
Molecule: small RNA, 17 nt
Filed under: Arabidopsis thaliana (thale cress)
Lineage: Eukaryota; Viridiplantae; Streptophyta; Magnoliopsida; Brassicales; Brassicaceae
Description: ATSL029870
Source: RNAcentral